UUGAACGCUGGCGGCAUGCUUUACACAUGCAAGUCGAACGGUAACAGGUCUUCGGAUGCUGACGAGUGGCGAACGGGUGAGUAAUGCAUCGGAACGUGCCCAGUCGUGGGGGAUAACGCAGCGAAAGCUGUGCUAAUACCGCAUACGAUCUAUGGAUGAAAGCGGGGGAUCGCAAGACCUCGCGCGAUUGGAGCGGCCGAUGUCAGAUUAGCUAGUUGGUGGGGUAAAGGCCCACCAAGGCGACGAUCUGUAGCUGGUCUGAGAGGACGACCAGCCACACUGGGACUGAGACACGGCCCAGACGCCUACGGGAGGCAGCAGUGGGGAAUUUUGGACAAUGGGCGCAAGCCUGAUCCAGCAAUGCCGCGUGAGUGAAGAAGGCCUUCGGGUUGUAAAGCUCGUGCGGCGGGGAAGAAAGCGCACGGGUUAAGACCUCGUGUGGAUGACGGUACCCGAAUAAGAAGCACCGGCUAACUACGU
Molecule: ribosomal RNA, 480 nt
Filed under: uncultured bacterium
Lineage: Bacteria
Description: bacterial SSU rRNA
Rfam family: Bacterial small subunit ribosomal RNA
Source: RNAcentral